GCGAAUACCGGAGAAUGUUAUCACGGGAGACACACGGCGGGUGCUAACGUCCGUCGUGAAGAGGGAAACAACCCAGACCGCCAGCUAAGGUCCCAAAGUCAUGGUUAAGUGGGAAACGAUGUGGGAAGGCCCAGACAGCCAGGAUGUUGGCUUAGAAGCAGCCAUCAUUUAAAGAAAGCGUAAUAGCUCACUGGUCGAGUCGGCCUGCGCGGAAGAUGUAACGGGGCUAAACCAUGCACCGAAGCUGCGGCAGCGACACUGUGUGUUGUUGGGUAGGGGAGCGUUCUGUAAGCCUGUGAAGGUGGCCUGUGAGGGUUGCUGGAGGUAUCAGAAGUGCGAAUGCUGACAUAAGUAACGAUAAAGCGGGUGAAAAGCCCGCUCGCCGGAAGACCAAGGGUUCCUGUCCAACGUUAAUCGGGGCAGGGUGAGUCGACCCCUAAGGCGAGGCCGAAAGGCGUAGUCGAUGGGAAACGGGUUAAUAUUCCCGUACUUGGUGUUACUGCGAAGGGGGGACGGAGAAGGCUAUGUUGGCCGGGCGACGGUUGUCCCGGUUUAAGCGUGUAGGUGUGUGUUCCAGGUAAAUCCGGUUCACUUUAACACUGAG
Molecule: ribosomal RNA, 604 nt
Filed under: Salmonella enterica subsp. enterica serovar Agona
Lineage: Bacteria; Pseudomonadati; Pseudomonadota; Gammaproteobacteria; Enterobacterales; Enterobacteriaceae
Description: partial 23S ribosomal RNA
Rfam family: Bacterial large subunit ribosomal RNA
Source: RNAcentral